CCUCAAUUCCAGCAGGCAAUUCAAGCAGAAGCUGCCAUCUUUUCUCAUAUGGCCUUCCUAUUGGCUGGCCUGCAGAUGAGCAUCUGACCUAAACUGACCAAUCAGGGUUCUUCUCUGUGUAACCAUCUGUUCUGCCUUGAAACAGCCCCGAGGCUGGUCAUAUGUCCGUUUGUUCAGGAAGGGACCAUUAGAGGUCCUUCGCACAGAUGAGAGCUGGGGAAAUGCCUGUGUGUAGACACGUGUCCCCGAGGCCCGGAUGUUCUCCAGUACCUUCCCUGCUAACCCGAGGAUUAAAUGUGAACUCACACGACAAAGAAACCUUCACUCAGCUGCCUGGGGUAUUUCAUUACAGUGAUGCACGGCUGGACGACAACCCACCUCAUCAGGGAAAUAACUGAAAAGGUCUAGCCAGGCCUCGCCUUUGUUUCUGCUUUGGCCUUCCUCUCUGCCUAUAGAGCCAGCCACCUCUGCUCUGCUCACCUACAUACACUCUUUCUUUUUCUUUUCCUUCUUUCUUUUUUGAAACAAUAUCUGUUGUAGCUAAGAAUGACCCAGAAGCAGCUAAGGAUGACCCAGAAGCCUGCCUCCACCUAAGCUGUGAAGAUGUUUCCUCCAGACUGAAACAUUCCAUGCUCCCGGAAAGCUCUUUAAGACAGCAAGUAGACAGUUCAGAACAGCUUCAGGAAGUCCCUGUAACUGACCAGAUUCACUAGACCUCUCCCUCCCCAAAAGCAAAGGCCAAGGAAUGCUGGGAGUGGUCACUCUCAAGACAAGUGGAGCAGCCUGGAAGAGGCUUAGACCAGCUGGACCUUCUGAAAGGACACUCUUCAGCUUGCUGAGCCCUGUACAAGAUGUGCAGUGUGCACCAGGUUCCCAACUUUGUGAGCUGUCACCCACACUGGUGGUGCAGCUGUCUUUGAGCCAUUUCUGUUCCUGUAAGUAACCCCUCACCCAUAUUCCUAUAAGUAACCCCAAUUAAACUCAUUGACUCAUCAA
Long non-coding RNA from Myodes glareolus (Bank vole), 996 nucleotides. RefSeq lists it as uncharacterized. NCBI's taxonomy places the organism in Eukaryota, Metazoa, Chordata, Mammalia, Rodentia, Cricetidae. The record is from RefSeq and is a predicted model, not a curated record.